GAUGAAGAACGCAGCGAAAUGCGAUAAGUAGUGUGAAUUGCAGAAUUUAGUGAAUCAUCGAAUCUUUGAACGCACAUUGCGCCCUUUGGUAUUCCUUAGGGCAUGCCUGUUCGAGCGUCAUUUAAACCUUCAAGCUAAGCUUGGUGUUGGGUGACUGUCCGCUUCACGGCGGACUCGCCUCAAAAUUAUUGGCGGCCGGUACAUUGGCUUCGAGCGCAGCAGAAACGCGAACUCGGGCCCGUCGUAUUGGCUCCCAGAAGCUAUCUUCACAAUUUUGACCUCGGAUCAGGUAGGGAUACCCGCUGAACUUAAGCAUAUCAAUAAGCGGAGGA
RNAcentral lists this unclassified non-coding RNA (332 nucleotides) under soil metagenome. RNAcentral's name for it is "partial contains 5.8S ribosomal RNA, internal transcribed spacer 2, and large subunit ribosomal RNA". The stretch from base 1 to 120 matches the Rfam family "5.8S ribosomal RNA", at positions 35 to 154 of the family's 154-position model. The record is from RNAcentral.